Myotis myotis is the source of this 629-nucleotide long non-coding RNA. RefSeq lists it as uncharacterized. Lineage: Eukaryota; Metazoa; Chordata; Mammalia; Chiroptera; Vespertilionidae. The transcript has 2 exons. The record is from RefSeq and is a predicted model, not a curated record.
GCUGGCAGGAGCACAGAGCAGGGGGCUGGCAGCUCUGUCUGGCUUUUCCCUGAAAUGCAUCCUGCAUCCAAGGUGUCUGCAAAGAGUGACUGCCAGAUUCUGGUUAUGAAUUUGGGCCCCAUGAACCACAAGGGGUCCUUCUGGGCAGCCUUGAAGCAUGUGUACCCCAGAGAUAAGGAUUUAAACUAACAGUGACUUGUCAAGAUAAACGCUUGCCUGAGUGACUACUCUCCUUAGCCCCUCGCCUUGUUUGAGAUUAACGUAAGCGCAUUGACGUAAAUCAUUGAUAGCCACCUGAGCUGCUACAGGUAUGAACAAGCUUUAACUAUGGACCCUGGCCAGCUAACGAUGCUCAUCUGUGGAGACAGCCACAAAGGCACGUCCUUUUGCCAGUCCGGCAAGCGACGCCGUUCCACGCUCCUCUCUGCCAAAUGACAGAAAAACGGUAACACCCGAUUGAGACGCGACUGAGCUCUCGGGUGAGGAACGCCGGCCCCCUGCCUGCACCCGGGACCAGACCAGCCCAGCUGCCGGACCCCAGAGGACAGCACCACAAGGAUCCCUAACUAAGCUUGUACCCACAGCUCAGGAAUUUGUGUGAGUAAUAAAAAAGCUGUGUGAUUUGCAAC